RNAcentral lists this ribosomal RNA (1343 nucleotides) under uncultured bacterium. Its description in RNAcentral is "16S ribosomal RNA". It matches the Rfam family "Bacterial small subunit ribosomal RNA", at positions 28 to 1378 of the family's 1533-position model. The record is from RNAcentral.
GACGAACCCUUGCGGCGUGCUUAACACAUGCAAGUCGAACGGAAAGGCCCUGCUUUUGUGGGGUGCUCGAGUGGCGAACGGGUGAGUAACACGCGAGUAACCUGCCCUUGACUUUGGGAUAACUUCAGGAAACUGGGGCUAAUACCGGAUAGGAGCUCCUGCUGCAUGGUGGGGGUUGGAAAGUUUCGGCGGUUGGGGAUGGACUCGCGGCUUAUCAGCUUGUUGGUGGGGUAGUGGCUUACCAAGGCUUUGACGGGUAGCCGGCCUGAGAGGGUGACCGGCCACAUUGGGACUGAGAUACGGCCCAGACUCCUACGGGAGGCAGCAGUGGGGAAUAUUGCACAAUGGGCGGAAGCCUGAUGCAGCAACGCCGCGUGCGGGAUGACGGCCUUCGGGUUGUAAACCGCUUUCGCCUGUGACGAAGCGUGAGUGACGGUAAUGGGUAAAGAAGCACCGGCUAACUACGUGCCAGCAGCCGCGGUGAUACGUAGGGUGCGAGCGUUGUCCGGAUUUAUUGGGCGUAAAGGGCUCGUAGGUGGUUGAUCGCGUCGGAAGUGUAAUCUUGGGGCUUAACCCUGAGCGUGCUUUCGAUACGGGUUGACUUGAGGAAGGUAGGGGAGAAUGGAAUUCCUGGUGGAGCGGUGGAAUGCGCAGAUAUCAGGAGGAACACCAGUGGCGAAGGCGGUUCUCUGGGCCUUUCCUGACGCUGAGGAGCGAAAGCGUGGGGAGCGAACAGGCUUAGAUACCCUGGUAGUCCACGCCGUAAACGGUGGGUACUAGGUGUGGGGUCCAUUCCACGGGUUCCGUGCCGUAGCUAACGCUUUAAGUACCCCGCCUGGGGAGUACGGCCGCAAGGCUAAAACUCAAAGGAAUUGACGGGGCCCCGCACAAGCGGCGGAGCAUGCGGAUUAAUUCGAUGCAACGCGUAGAACCUUACCUGGGUUUGACAUGGAUCGGGAGUGCUCAGAGAUGGGUGUGCCUCUUUUGGGGUCGGUUCACAGGUGGUGCAUGCCUGUCGUCAGCUCGUGUCGUGAGAUGUUGGGUUAAGUCCCGCAACGAGCGCAACCCUUGUUCACUGUUGCCAGCACGUUAUGGUGGGGACUCAGUGGAGACCGCCGGGGUCAACUCGGAGGAAGGUGGGGAUGACGUCAAGUCAUCAUGCCCCUUAUGUCCAGGGCUUCACGCAUGCUACAAUGGCUGGUACAGAGAGUGGCGAGCCUGUGAGGGUGAGCGAAUCUCGGAAAGCCGGUCUCAGUUCGGAUUGGGGUCUGCAACUCGACCUCAUGAAGUCGGAGUCGCUAGUAAUCGCAGAUCAGCAACGCUGCGGUGAAUACGUUCCCGGG